RNAcentral lists this ribosomal RNA (484 nucleotides) under uncultured bacterium. Its description in RNAcentral is "partial 16S ribosomal RNA". It matches the Rfam family "Bacterial small subunit ribosomal RNA", at positions 29 to 523 of the family's 1533-position model. The record is from RNAcentral.
AGUGAACGCUGGCGGCGUGCUUAACACAUGCAAGUCGAACGAGAACGGGCUAUAGUUUGCUAUAGUUGUCAGCUAAGUGGCGCACGGGUGAGUAAUGUAUAGGUAAUAUGCCUCUUACUAAGGGAUAACAAAUGGAAACGUUUGCUAAUACCUUAUACUCCUUAUUAACAGAAGUUAAUAAGGGAAAGAUUUAUUGGUAAGAGAUUAGCCUGUAUUGUAUCAGUUAGUUGGUGGGGUAAUGGCUUACCAAGACUAUGACACAUAACUGGUUUGAGAGGAUGAUCAGUCACACUGGAACUGAGACACGGUCCAGACUCCUACGGGAGGCAGCAGUGGGGAACAUUGCACAAUGGACGAAAGUCUGAUGCAGCAACGCCGCGUGGAGGAUGACACAUUUCGGUGCGUAAACUCCUUUUAUAUGAGAAGAUAAUGACGGUAUUAUAUGAAUAAGCACCGGCUAACUCCGUGCCAGCAGCCGCCGUAA